UUUUUCAUAGUGUAAAAAAUCUUAAAAAUGUUUUGCCUAUUUUUAGAGCAAAACCAAAUGAGAAUUGAAACAUGUCGAAAAGACAAUAUAACCGAGUUCAAUACUACAAUCCAAAGCAUCAUAUAAAGCAUUUUCAUCUGAUUCUGUAACUAGUACUAAGUCAUUGUUAUAGCUUUAUGACACUAAAAUCAUGGCAAUAACAGCUAUUCAUUAAGCGGUUUUCAUGCCUCAAAAUCUAACUGCUGUUGUCCAUGUACCUUGCACGCUUGGGUGCUGGGUAACAUGCCUCGUCUUUAGUUUUACCACCUUUCUUCCCAAUGAAUUCCUUAGCCUGGUCGCUUGCAGAAGUACUUCAUCUGGAGUCAAAUUCUUCACACAAACCACCCGCUCAUUUUUGUUCUCAUAAAAAGCCUUCAAAUAUGGAUGUUGCCCACGAUUGAGUUCAGUAAUCAACUCUAGCUGAGGAUUUCCUUCUUUAAAUGCUGGCAGUUGUGACUCCAUAAAUGCCCU
Molecule: unclassified non-coding RNA, 510 nt
Filed under: Hevea brasiliensis (rubber tree)
Lineage: Eukaryota; Viridiplantae; Streptophyta; Magnoliopsida; Malpighiales; Euphorbiaceae
Source: RNAcentral